UCUUAGAGUUUCCCCUGAGACAGAGAACACAAAAGUAUCUUUGGCUUUUCUGUGGGGAAAUCUGUUUUGCCCUUGGGGAAAGAGAAAAAUCCAGCCCCUAAAGACUAGCAAGUAAGACCUCUUCAGACUCCCAAGGCCACUACUUUGGUUUCGAGAAAAUGGGUAAGAAUUAUGUGCAAGACGGAUUAUUGCUAGCCUAAAUAAACGGUAGCCUUGGAAAAUUCACAGAACUUUCUAGAAAAUAAGUCAGUUAAAAAACUCAACAAAUCUAUUUAAUCAUUAGCUCUGUUACUGCAAAGUACUCUUCAUCUAUACUUUUAUUUAAAGUACAGCAGGCUGAAAGCCAAAAUGAGCUUUAAAAGGAAAAUAUGUACAUCUGUCAAUUUUAACUUCCAGACUUUUGAAAUCUUGCUGAAGAAAUCAACUGAAUUUUAUUUGGCUUUGUUUGUUUGUUUUUCCAUUUCAGCAAACAUCAGUACUCCUCCUCUCCAACUGUCAUUGACAAAUUUAAUAUGAAAAUAUUCUGAGAUUGGCUUCUGAAGAGCAAGGCCUGAGUCGCUUGGGGAAAAUAAGAGAAACCUUGUUUAUUGGGGGAAUAGGAAAGUCGAUAAAUCCCGGACGAGCUUUGAUCCUAAGAGAGCAACAGACAGAAGACACAGAUAUUUUUCCAAAUGCCCUGGAUGAAAACAGAGAUUAUUAGAAAGGACACAAGUGAAAAAGACUGCUCCAGAAAUGUUUUAGAUAACAUGUUAGAGUCCCUGUCAACUGCAAAGGAAUCUUGGGAGGAAGAGAAAGAAGGAUUUUUGCGUGAAGUCAACCAGCAAGCAACACAAUUAGAGACCAUGUACUUACCAAUAAUAACAGUGUUGUCAUCAGCAAUUAGCAACUUGCUGUGGACAUAGAUGAGCUCAGUGACUAGGUUUCCUUCAAGCUCUGCAUGCGUUCUAAGGCCACAGAAUGAUAUGUAAUUUAUCCACUGAUUGCCAACUAUAAAGUAAAAAAGAAAGUAUUCAAAUGAAUAUGACCUAGCUCAAUAAAGGCACAUUACAUUUUACUGUUUUUCAAAACAAAUAUACUCAUUAAAUAGGUGGUUAAGAAUAGAUUGUAUAGUGUGUGUGUGUGUGUGUGUGUGUGUGUGUGUGUGUGUGUGUAAUAUCAGAACUCACCCAGGAUCUAUUUUUGCUAUCAGAAGAAUCUUGUACUAUUAAUAUGGAUGGAUACACAUUAAAAAACCAUACUGGAGUGUUUGCUAUGAAUUACUUUUUCUGAGGCAAUCAAAAACAUAUCAAAUGUGAACAUGUAUUUUAAUGAUUGGAUGAGCAACUACUAACGAGUGAUAAUUAAAGCAGAGCCAGAGUAGAUAACCAAGACAUCAGUGUCACAUUUGCAUCUACCUUGGUUCACACUUGCUGCCGCUUAAAUCAGAUGCAAAAAUAUGAAUGCCUAAACUACUUGAUAUAGACAUAGUUUGCAGCAUUUUCAACACACAGCAGCAGUUAAAUUUUAUAGACUUUGUGUAAAUAAAAAUGUUGGCAAUUGAAUAACACUCCUUCUAAAUCAUUAAAAUCAGGAAAUGAAAGAACCUAACUACAUUUGACUUUGGAGAAUUUUCUCCAGAGCAAGCAGUACCAGGUUUGUACUUUAAAAUGCUGCCCUCUCAUCACAUGAAGGCCAUUCGUGUGAUAAGAAGAAAUGCAUUCCAUACCAAGCCAACCCAUAACCAUUAUCCUGGCAUGAAUGUCAGUCACACAAUUUUAUGGUCCUUCUCCCACACAGCAGUUGUCCUGGAUAAGGAAAGUCUUAUACUAAGAAUAAAUGGAGCAGAGCAAAACCAUCACGAAUUCUAAUAGAAAGAGAAUAUAAUUUUUCUCCUUUAAGAGAAUCUGAAGCAUUCUAACAGAAACAAUGGCGGUUCAUGUUCUGUUUACUGAAGUUUCCAUGUAUUACUGAUGCUUUCUAUUAUCCUGUUGAUGUUACUCGGUAUUUCUAUCAAAUAUGAGGGUCUUGGAAAGAAAUUCAUUCAUAGGUUAUAUAGAGAGAUUGGUCCAUUUACAGAUAACCCUUCCCUUAUAUAUGUAAAUAAUAUUGUAGCUUUGUUUGCCAAGAGUUGAUGUGUUGAUGUACUAGUACAUGAUGUGUAAGAGAUGCGUUCCUAAAAAGGUUCACGUACAUAAGAUUUUGGGGCGCCUGGGUGGCGCAGUCGGUUGAGCGUCGGACUUCAGC
This is a long non-coding RNA of Leopardus geoffroyi (Geoffroy's cat), 2223 nucleotides long. RefSeq lists it as uncharacterized. Lineage: Eukaryota; Metazoa; Chordata; Mammalia; Carnivora; Felidae. The record is from RefSeq and is a predicted model, not a curated record. The transcript has 3 exons.